UACGUAGGGUGCAAGCGUUAAUCGGAAUUACUGGGCGUAAAGCGUGCGCAGGCGGUUUUGUAAGUCUGUCGUGAAAUCCCCGGGCUCAACCUGGGAAUGGCGAUGGAGACUGCAAGGCUAGAGUUUGGCAGAGGGGGGUAGAAUUCCACGUGUAGCAGUGAAAUGCGUAGAUAUCGGGAGGAACACCUGAGGCGAAGGCGGGCUACUGGGCCGAUACUGACGCUGAUGCGCGAAAGCCAGGGGAGCAAACGGG
This 253-nucleotide ribosomal RNA is filed under the name uncultured prokaryote. Its description in RNAcentral is "partial 16S ribosomal RNA". It matches the Rfam family "Bacterial small subunit ribosomal RNA", at positions 524 to 776 of the family's 1533-position model. The record is from RNAcentral.